Molecule: non-coding RNA, 222 nt
Filed under: Virgibacillus necropolis
Lineage: Bacteria; Bacillati; Bacillota; Bacilli; Caryophanales; Bacillaceae
Description: T-box sequence
Rfam family: T-box leader
About the family: Uncharged tRNA acts as the effector for transcription antitermination of genes in the T-box leader family. T-boxes are found upstream of many aminoacyl-tRNA synthetase genes and some amino acid biosynthetic genes usually in Gram-positive bacteria.
Source: RNAcentral
CAAUUAGCGUUGACGGAAAUAAGUAGUGUAGAUUUCGUUGUUUCAGAAAGUCGAUGGGUGCUGCAAAUCGAUACAAGUAUCUAGAUGAAUUACCUUCCUGAGCUUCUUUUAUGAAAACCAAAUUUGGUUAUUAGUAUAAGACGGUAAAACCGAUAGCUUGUUUAAGCGGAAGGCCUUGGUCUUCAACUUGGGUGGUAACGCGUGAUAAGACACGUCCCUUGA